This 460-nucleotide ribosomal RNA is filed under the name uncultured bacterium. RNAcentral's name for it is "partial 16S ribosomal RNA". It matches the Rfam family "Bacterial small subunit ribosomal RNA", at positions 338 to 795 of the family's 1533-position model. The record is from RNAcentral.
CCUACGGGCGGCAGCAGUGAGGAAUAUUGGUCAAUGGACGCAAGUCUGAACCAGCCAUGCCGCGUGCAGGAAGACGGCUCUAUGAGUUGUAAACUGCUUUUGUACGAGGGUAAACGCAGAUACGUGUAUCUGUCUGAAAGUAUCGUACGAAUAAGGAUCGGCUAACUCCGUGCCAGCAGCCGCGGUAAUACGGAGGAUUCAAGCGUUAUCCGGAUUUAUUGGGUUUAAAGGGUGCGUAGGCGGUCGGAUAAGUUAGCGGUGAAAUCCCGAGGCUCAACUUCGGAAUUGCCUCUGAUACUGUUCGGCUAGAGAGGAGUUGCGGUAGGCGGAAUGUAUGGUGUAGCGGUGAAAUGCUUAGAGAUCAUACAGAACACCGAUUGCGAAGGCAGCUUACCAGGCUACUUCUGACGUUGAGGCACGAAAGCGUGGGGAGCGAACAGGAUUAGAUACCCGGGUAGUC